GCCACCGUGGCUUAGGGGUAUAGCGUCUGAUUCGUAAUCAGACGAUCGUGGGUUCAAAUCCCACCGGUGGCU
RNAcentral lists this transfer RNA (72 nucleotides) under Thermoplasmatota archaeon. Its description in RNAcentral is "Candidatus Thermoplasmatota archaeon tRNA-Thr". It matches the Rfam family "tRNA". Rfam says of the family: Transfer RNA (tRNA) molecules are approximately 80 nucleotides in length. Lineage: Archaea; Methanobacteriati; Thermoplasmatota. The record is from RNAcentral.